AAAAUGCGAUACUUGGUGUGAAUUGCAGAAUCCCGUGAACCAUCGAGUUUUUGAACGCAAGUUGCGCCCGAAGCCAUCCGGCUGAGGGCACGCCUGCCUGGGCGUCACGCAUCGCGUCGCUCCCCACCAUACCUCCCCAACGGGUUGGCAUGGUGUUGGGGGCGGAUAAUGGCCUCCCGUGCUUGUGUUUCGGUUGGCCUAAAUAAGAGUUCCCUUCGGCGGACACACGACUAGUGGUGGUUGAAUAGACCCUCGUCUUUUGUUGCGUGUCGUGAGCUGAAAGGGUAGCCCUCAUCAAAGACCCCAUUGUAUCGUCUUCGGAUGAUGCUUAGACCGCGACCCCAGGUCAGGCGGGACUACCCGCUGAGUUUAAGC
This 375-nucleotide unclassified non-coding RNA is filed under the name plant metagenome. RNAcentral's name for it is "partial contains 5.8S ribosomal RNA, internal transcribed spacer 2, and large subunit ribosomal RNA". The stretch from base 1 to 107 matches the Rfam family "5.8S ribosomal RNA", at positions 50 to 154 of the family's 154-position model. The record is from RNAcentral.